UAAGUAGAGAACUAAUUGGAAAGUUCCAGAGGCAUUUUCAGCUUUCCCUCUUAGCUUUCCCUCUCAACUUUCCGUCUCAACUUUCCCUCUCAUCCCUUUCUCUCUCGAUCAUAAACCACUAUCAUCGAGCCAUUCUCAACUUUCCCUCUCAUCUCUUUCUCUCUCGAUCAUAAACCAUUAUCAUCGAGCCAUUCUUCAUUGUCUCUUCUCGUCAUUUUCAUAUUCUCAUCGAGCCAUUAUUCUGGAGCAUUUCCCCUCCAUCAUCUGGAAUCUUAAGUGAAAACAUAGUUUGGACUCCUUAAAGCUUCCUCCACGAGUAAAUGCAAAAGAAUGUAAGAACAACAGUGAACAAUGAGACGACGAUAGAUUCGAUGAAGGACCUUAGGAAGAGAACUCGAAAGAGGAGGAAUGCGUCUGGGAAACCCUAGGUUCGUGAUGGUACUCUAGGAGCGGGAAGGAUUCGAAGCAGAGUGAAAAAUAGGAAGAUUGUUCGGUGAGAAAUAUGAUUUAGGUCGCGUGUUCGGUGGAAAAGGAAGAUUCAACGGCUGAAUCGGUGAAACGGUGCCAAAAUGAGGAUGUAAUCGGUGGAUUCGGUGGAGAAGGUUGUAACGAGGAUGAAUCAAGUCGCAAGAUGUGAUUCGGUGAUGUGAAUCACGGAGAUGAAGGCUCUGUGAGAGUGAUUAGGUGAGGAGAUUCACGAGCUCGAGAAAAAGCUAGGUUUGGCUUUUCUGGUUCUACUCCAUUCAUUUCAAUUCCAUUUCUAAUUUCAUAUAAAAAAUAGAAACACACUCUUUUUCAUUUCAUUUCUCUUCUGCAAUAUUCAUUGCCCGCUGAAACCCUUCAUUUUCCCCAAGUGGUGGAUCAGUUUCCGGGAAUUCCUCGCCAAUUAAGGUACCCUGCUUUUACUUCUUGAGUGGUAUUUUAUUCCCAUGACCAAGGAUCAUUUUCAUUACACACAACUUUUGCUUAGGGUAAGGAUUUUUGUCCUUUUUCUCCGUAGUCAUUUCGCAUUACUUUGUUUUGUGAGUUGAAUGAGUCACGAGAUAAUGUAAUUGUAUAAUUUGUGUAUACGUGGAGUGUAGGAUUGUUGUGUGCAAAUAUAAGGUUGUGAGAUGGAGGAUGGUGAGAAACCCACGGGUAAUUCGCAUGACAUUUCUGAUAUGGAUGUUGUUGAAGCAGCUUGCAUAGCCAACGUGUGUCAUCUUCCCCUAUUGACAUUUCUCCUACUUAGCAAUAGCAGGAUUAAUUGUAUUCUUCUGUCUUUGAUAAUUUUAAAUGUAUAUAAAUGUAUAUAAACUCCUGUUCGGUAAAGGUCUUUAACUUCUUUAGAUUCAUUUUGACUUCUGUUAAUAACAUCUUGUUCAUCACCUUUAUUUUUCAUUUUUAACAGGAAGUUAGUAUGAAAAGUGGAAAGGCAUCAAUUAUGCCGGUUGAUGAAUAUUGCUCGUGUAAUUUGAUUAUUGUUUAACUGGUACAUUGAAUUCUUUGUCACAACAUCAUCUUCUUUUAAACAAAGCUGGUAGACUAAUUAUAUGGUUAAUAAUUUGUGUUAAUCAAGCUUGUGGUUAAACCUGCUUUGUAACAAANCCAAGGCUGAAGAACUCAGGGUAUUUAUUUUUCUCCUUUCGUUAUAUAUCAUGGAAUUUGUUAUUCUACAUCAGCGAGUGUGUGGUGGUGAAUAAGAAAUGACGUCCUGUUCAAAAUGGAAGAAAACCAAGGGAGGUUUUUAUUAGAUUAACCAAACAUUAGUAAUAGAGAAAAGAAGUCUUCUGCUUUACUAUAUCUUGGUGGUUCUGUUUUCUCUCUGGAUUUGUACUAGUGAACUAUGUAUGUGCUGAGGUUUCUUUCCACUGUUUGGUGUUUUUCUGUUGCUUCACAGGUUCAUGUACAAGCAAUUGGAGGUCUGCCUGAUUUCUGUAAGGAUACACCUGAGAAUAUAGGGAAGAUGGUUGAUAUACUUGUGCAAAUUCUUGGCUCUGGUAAGUUGGACACUUUGUAGGUUUAACGGUUGAGAACAUAUCCAUGAUUGACUGUAGCAUGUUUUCUCCUAUUUCAUUCUUGUAGAAGAAUUUGUGGAGCGUGAUGCUGUGCAUAAGGCUCUGAUCUCAUCGUUGAGGCAGGAUGUCAAAGGUACCGUGAUAUAUCUUUACCUUGUUAGGAAACAAAUUUGCAGCCUUGUAACUAGAAAACACCACUUUCCAGAGCAGCAAAUAUAGAGAGAACGAGACUUGAUUAAUUGGCAUUUUCCAAACACACUCUUAAUAGUUUAAAUUUUUCUAAGGAACCCGAGUCUAUACAUGCUAAAUUAAAACAAUUUAUAAUUUUGGGUGUUGCAUUAGUAUGAUGAUUGACGUGUGCUUAAUUGAUUGAAUUCUUUUAAGUCUAUUGUACAGGUUGACUUAAGUGUGAGGGAAAAGAUAUUGACUUUAAUUGAUACAUGGCAAGAAGCUUUUNGUAGACCAAAUGGAAGGUAUAUGGGAAACUCUUUGAAGGCUGUGUGAACUUGGAUGGUUAGGUUACUCUAUUUUCUAGAGGCAAAAUAAAUCAUAGUUGAAACUAGAGAUACUCUUUUUUACUUUUUUCUGGUGAAGAUUUAAUUUUUUGUGGAAAGUUCUUCUACUUGAUAUGGUUCUUGUAAGCUUGUUGUCUAUAGCAUGGAUAGUUCUUUAUAGGUUAUGCGAGAUCUAUUAAUUUGGUUCUUUUAAUGAAUACCAAGCUUGGACGCAAGUCCAAGUGCACCAGAAGAUUAACGGAAACCAUAAAGGAAGAAAGAAAGAAGUUAUCACCAAUAUCAAGUCAUAAGGUAGACAGGGACAAUUUAAAGUAUUAUAGGAAAUAGCGCUAAUCAUGUUGGGCCAUAUUUUUCAAUGUAUUAAAUUAGUGUUAUGCCAUGUAAGGAAAGAAAACUUUUGGAAGUUACAUGAUCUUUUUCCCAGUUAGUGAGGCAUGCAGGGUAGUGGGUGAGUGGGUUCUUUUCUAGCAUUCUUUGGCUUUGGUUAAGCUUUUUUGCCCAUGAUCUAGUGUUCAUUAUACACAAAUACUUGGAAGAAGGAUGUUAAGCCUAGAGAUAUUGAAGAUGCUAUCAAUCAAGGAGCUGUAGGAAAACCUAGAGAUAUUCAAAGUCAUUAUACAUAUUUUACUUACUGUUUGUGAUAUUAAACCUGAAGUUCCUCUUUAGAUGCAAGUCAAUUUCCUUUGGUUUAAUUUUGAUUUUUAAUUUUAGGUAAUGAAAAAUCUUUUGGGCAUAUUUCAAUCUNNNN
RNAcentral lists this long non-coding RNA (3260 nucleotides) under Vigna radiata. RNAcentral's name for it is "long non-coding RNA (VRAD_LNC013644)". Lineage: Eukaryota; Viridiplantae; Streptophyta; Magnoliopsida; Fabales; Fabaceae. The record is from RNAcentral.